UUGAUCUCAAAUCAGGUAGGACUACCCGCUGAACUUAAGCAUAUCAAUAAGCGGAGGAAAAGAAACUAACAAGGAUUCCCCUAGUAACUGCGAGUGAAGCGGGAAGAGCUCAAAUUUAAAAUCUGGCGUGCCUCUGGUCGUCCGAGUUGUAGUCUGGAGAAGCGUUUUCCGUGUUGGACCGUGUACAAGUCUCUUGGAACAGGGCGUCAUAGAGGGUGAGAAUCCCGUCUUUGACACGGACUACCAAUGCUUUGUGAUGCGCUCUCAAAGAGUCGAGUUGUUUGGGAAUGCAGCUCAAAAUGGGUGGUAAAUUCCAUCUAAAGCUAAAUAUAGGCGAGAGACCGAUAGCGAACAAGUACCGUGAGGGAAAGAUGAAAAGCACUUUGGAAAGAGAGUUAAACAGUACGUGAAAUUGCUGAAAGGGAAACGCUUGAAGUCAGUCACGUCUGCCAGGACUCAGCCUUGCUUCUGCUUGGUGUACUUUCUGGUUUGACGGGCCAACAUCAAUUUUGACCGUUGGAGAAAGGCUUUGGGAAUGUGGCACCCUCGGGUGUGUUAUAGCCCUUUGUCGUAUACAACGGUUGGGAUUGAGGAUCGCAGCACGCCUUCAUGGCCGGGGUUCGCCCACGUACGUGCUUAGGA
This 642-nucleotide ribosomal RNA is filed under the name uncultured fungus. RNAcentral describes it as "eukaryotic LSU rRNA". It matches the Rfam family "Eukaryotic large subunit ribosomal RNA", at positions 1 to 618 of the family's 3401-position model. Lineage: Eukaryota; Fungi. The record is from RNAcentral.